GCGUGCCUAACACAUGCAAGUCGAACGAGAAUCUUUGAACAGAUCUUUUCGGAGUGACGUUCAAAGAGGAAAGUGGCGGACGGGCGAGUAACGCGUGAGUAACCUGCCCAUAAGAGGGGGAUAAUCCAUGGAAACGUGGACUAAUACCGCAUAUUGUAGUUAAGUUGCAUGACUUGAUUAUGAAAGAUUUAUCGCUUAUGGAUGGACUCGCGUCAGAUUAGAUAGUUGGUGAGGUAACGGCUCACCAAGUCAACGAUCUGUAGCCGAACUGAGAGGUUGAUCGGCCGCAUUGGGACUGAGACACGGCCCAGACUCCUACGGGAGGCAGCAGUGGGGAAUAUUGCGCAAUGGGGGCAACCCUGGCGCAGCAACGCCGCGUGCAGGAAGAAGGUCUUCGGAUUGUAAACUGUUGUCGCAAGGGAAGAAGACAGUGACGGUACCUUGUGAGAAAGUCACGGCUAACUACGUGCCAGCAGCCGCGGUAAUACGUAGGUGACAAGCGUUGUCCGGAUUUACUGGGUGUAAAGGGCGCGUAGGCGGACUGUCAAGUCAGUCGUGAAAUACCGGGGCUUAACCCCGGGGCUGCGAUUGAAACUGACAGCCUUGAGUAUCGGAGAGGAAAGCGGAAUUCCUAGUGUAGCGGUGAAAUGCGUAGAUAUUAGGAGGAACACCAGUGGCGAAGGCGGCUUUCUGGACGACAACUGACGCUGAGGCGCGAAAGUGUGGGGAGCAAACAGGAUUAGAUACCCUGGUAGUCCACACCGUAAACGAUGGAUACUAGGUGUAGGAGGUAUCGACCCCUUCUGUGCCGCAGUUAACACAAUAAGUAUCCCACCUGGGGAGUACGACCGCAAGGUUGAAACUCAAAGGAAUUGACGA
This 879-nucleotide ribosomal RNA is filed under the name uncultured bacterium. RNAcentral's name for it is "bacterial SSU rRNA". It matches the Rfam family "Bacterial small subunit ribosomal RNA", at positions 42 to 916 of the family's 1533-position model. The record is from RNAcentral.